AUCGCCUGGGCAUUUUGUUGAAAUGCAGGUUCUGAUUGGGGCGGGGGGUGGGGGGUUGAUGUGGGGCCUGAGAUUCUGCAUUUCUAACAAGUUCCCAGGGGAUGUCCA
This 108-nucleotide microRNA precursor is filed under the name Loxodonta africana (African savanna elephant). Its description in RNAcentral is "mir-544 microRNA precursor family". Lineage: Eukaryota; Metazoa; Chordata; Mammalia; Proboscidea; Elephantidae. The record is from Rfam by way of RNAcentral.